UACGGGGGGGGCAAGCGUUGUUCGGAAUUACUGGGCGUAAAGGGCACGCAGGCGGCCCGGCAAGUCCCUCGUGAAAUCCCACAGCUCAACUGUGGAACUGCGGGGGAUACUGCGGGGCUUGAGGCCGGGAGAGGGGAGUGGAAUUCCCAGUGUAGCGGUGAAAUGCGUAGAUAUUGGGAGGAACACCGGUGGCGAAGGCGGCUCCCUGGACCGGUACUGACGCUGAGGUGCGAAAGCUAGGGGAGCAAACGGG
RNAcentral lists this ribosomal RNA (253 nucleotides) under uncultured bacterium. Its description in RNAcentral is "partial 16S ribosomal RNA". It matches the Rfam family "Bacterial small subunit ribosomal RNA", at positions 524 to 776 of the family's 1533-position model. The record is from RNAcentral.